AGAGUUUGAUCCUGGCUCAGGAUGAACGCUGGCGGCGUGCCUAAUACAUGCAAGUCGAACGGGGAUGCAGCAAUGUAUCCUAGUGGCGACCGGGUGCGUAACACGUAGCUGACCUGCCCCUCAGCGGGGGACAACAGGACGAAAGUCCUGCUAAUACCGCAUACAUUUCCGUUUAUUAGAAGGACGGAAAGAAACUUAUGGGGCUGAGGGAGGGAGCUGCGGCCCAUCAGGUAGUUGGUGAGGUAGAAGCUCACCAAGCCGACGACGGGUAGGGGGCCUGAGAGGGUGGUCCCCCACACUGGGACUGACACACGGCCCAGACUCCUACGGGAGGCAGCAGUAAGGGAUAUUGCGCAAUGGGCGAAAGCCUGACGCAGCAACGCCGCGUGAAGGAUGAAGGCCUUCGGGUCGUAAACUUCUUUUCUCGCUGACGAGCAAGGACGGUAGGCGAGGAAUCAGUCACGGCUAACUACGUGCCAGCAGCCGCGGUAAAACGUAGGUGGCGAGCGUUAUCCGGAUUUACUGGGCGUAAAGCGUGUGCAGGCGGGGCUACAAGUGGUGUAUGAAAUCGCUCGGCUAAACCGGGCGGGGUUAUGCCAGACUGUAGCUCUUGAGUGCGAGAGAGGGGCAUGGAAUUCCGGGUGUAGUGGUGAAAUGCGUAGAGAUCCGGAGGAACCCCAGAGGCGAAGGCGGUGCCCUGGCUCGCAACUGACGCUCAGACACGACAGCAUGGGGAGCGAACGGGAUUAGAAACCCCGGUAGUCCAUGCCGUAAACGAUGCAAACUAGGCGCUGACGGUCUCAACCCCGCCGGUGCCGCAGCUAACGCGAUAAGUUUGCCGCCUGGGGAGUACGGCCGCAAGGCUAAAACUCAAAGGAAUUGACGG
Molecule: ribosomal RNA, 886 nt
Filed under: uncultured bacterium
Lineage: Bacteria
Description: bacterial SSU rRNA
Rfam family: Bacterial small subunit ribosomal RNA
Source: RNAcentral